This 1246-nucleotide unclassified non-coding RNA is filed under the name Megachile rotundata (alfalfa leafcutting bee). Its description in RNAcentral is "uncharacterized LOC100881880, transcript variant X6". Lineage: Eukaryota; Metazoa; Arthropoda; Insecta; Hymenoptera; Megachilidae. The record is from RNAcentral.
CUAUGAAUGUUGUAUCUUCUGCUUAAUUUAUAUGAACCUUUUUCAUCUAUUUGACCAUAUAUUAGAGCCAAUACGUAGUACAAGUUUGGUUUUAACCUUUCCAGAUACCCGGUAUAUGCGUGUUUCUUAUCAAGUAUGCGUUCCGCAUUAGAAAUAACAUGUAGUUGUUUCACAAACGGUGUUCUGAAUAACAAAGACCAGUGUGGAAAUGCUAGAUAUUCAACAAUACAAUCGCAAUGUUGGAAUUUGUCGUAAAUUGCAAUCAAGUAUCCAUGUUUUUAUCAGAAGCCUGUAAGAGAACGAUCCAUCUUUGCUAAAUAUAUUUUCGACGCGCGAAAGAACGCGUCAGUCUGUGCACUGCGUUGCACGAGUAAGGUUGUAACGGUAGGUUUCUUAUUUCUAAAAGAAAUAAUAUUUGUACUACGUGAUAAACUUUGCUCGGGUUAAGUUUCAAUAUCGAAUAUAUAGAAGUGAUAAGUGCCGAAAUAAGAAAGAAUUGAACAUUGUGGUUAUAAAGUGUGCAAGUGGUUAAUUCUUCCAUGGAAAUGCGGAAUGAAUUAUGCAGACCUCUUUAUCGAAACAAGUAAUCGGUUGUAUCGGAAAGUGCACCUCCGGUCUGAAUCCUGAAGAAUUAGAUCAGAUUACGGAUAAUAUAAAUAAAACUUUGGCACAUCCAAGAGGGAGAGAAAUUUUUAAAAAGUAUUUGGUGCAACGAGACCUCAGGGAUAAUCUCGAGUGUUUGGAACUAUACGAAACUUGUUGCGAUUUUAUCGACCAAGAAAAAAACUGUUCACAGUCGAAAAAGGAAUCAUCCCUGGGACCAUUAAUCGAUAAUGUCACGAGGGUGAAAGAAAUGGCAGAAGAUUUGGAUGGGGUGCCCCAGAUAGAUAUGGCACUUCUGGAAUGUUUUAACAAGGCUUUAAAUAGUGACUCGAGAACGGAUUUACUUGGCGUUUUGGUGGAUACCAGGGAUCGUUCUCGGAAUCAUUUGAGACGCGCUCACGAAGGUUUCAAGAAAUAUGCCUCCGAGCCCUGUCCUAUGACCAAGUAACAAACAAAAAUUUAUUCCGGCAGAGCGUGACGGAUAUACGUUUGGGUUGCGGGAUUGCUUUACCAGAAUCUUUAAGGAGAGAAGUGCAGAAAAAUUGGCACCAAAAAUUGAUGAUCUUCAACAGAAACUAUUGAAUCUUGGUGAUAGACUCGUCGAGCGCAACAAGGCAGUCGAAAAUAUUUGCAAAAAAUUUUU